This 440-nucleotide ribosomal RNA is filed under the name uncultured bacterium. Its description in RNAcentral is "partial 16S ribosomal RNA". It matches the Rfam family "Bacterial small subunit ribosomal RNA", at positions 339 to 795 of the family's 1533-position model. The record is from RNAcentral.
CUACGGGGGGCAGCAGUGAGGAAUAUUGCACAAUGGGGGGAACCCUGAUGCAGCAACGCCGCGUGGAGGAUGACGCAUUUCGGUGUGUAAACUCCUUUUAUAUGUCAAGAAAAUGACGGUAGCAUAUGAAUAAGCACCGGCUAACUCCGUGCCAGCAGCCGGUGGUAAUACGGAGGGUGCAAGCGUUACUCGGAAUCACUGGGCGUAAAGGACGCGUAGGCGGGUUGGAAAGUCAGGUGUGAAAUCCUACAGCUUAACUGUAGAACUGCACUUGAAACUUCUAAUCUAGAGUAUGGGAGGGGGAGAUGGAAUUAGUGGUGUAGGGGUAAAAUCCGUAGAUAUCACUAGGAAUACCUAAAGCGAAGGCGAUCUCCUGGAACAUUACUGACGCUAAGGCGUGAAAGCGUGGGGAGCAAACAGGAUUAGAUACCCGGGUAGUC